GGGAGGUUCGAGACAUUGAAACGCUUCCGUAAAAUGAAUGAGAAGAAGAGCAGGAAGAGGAAAAGGCCAUAUGAUCCAGGAGAAGGCCCAAGGAUCAAACGGAGGAGAAUCUGGCCCUAGUGACGUUUGUAUUUCAUGUUAUUACAUAUACUUCUUGUUAUUAUAGAUCCAAGUCAACUUGUACAAAAUCCCCCUUCCCUGGGCCUCGUGCGGAGGGGAGGGAGUUUGUCCUAGCCCUGCCCCGCACGAGGCCCAAGAAGCGGGCCGAUUGGCUCCCUUGAAAUUGGAGGCGUGGUCUCGGCUGUAAUCGGCCGAUCCACGGCCCAAGCUCUUCAGUUUUGCCUUGGCAAUCCCCUCCCUCCCUUCCUUCCCUGAUGCAGAGCGGGUCUAGCGGCUGGUCGCCUGCGGGGGCCGAGUAGGAAUUUUUUGCUCUCAACGCAUUGGCCACCGUUGGGGGUUUUUUCGCCUACUCCGUUCUGUACUCAGGUGUUUAGUUAGAGUUAGAGUUGGGAGUAACUGUGCGGGCUGAGGGGUAAGUUGAGGGUUAGAAUAUCGGUGAGCACCCUUGGAUCUUUAAAGGUUGAUUGGUCAAUUGCUGCUUUGUGGCCUGUGCGUCACGGGGAGAAUAGAUUGCCAUGAAACCUGCUUCAGGACUUCACCAACCUUUGGGCUGUGCAGUCCAGGGUGGGUGAAGACCUUGAAGUAUCCAGAUCCCCUCUUCUAAAGGAGGCGGUUGGCUCUGAAGGAAUUAGGCGGGGCGUACCUGCCUGUUUCCUGAGCCAGGGUGUGUCGCCCAGUGAGGCGAUGGGUAGGAUGUUAGAGUCCUAGCCCGAGCUUAAGGGCCCGCACUGUUCUCUAAGGGUGAUUAAUCACCUGGCAUUCUAGUCCGCCAGGUCUGUUGUUUCUUUAAUAAAAUUGUGGUCCUUUCACCCA
Molecule: long non-coding RNA, 933 nt
Organism: Hemicordylus capensis (graceful crag lizard)
Lineage: Eukaryota; Metazoa; Chordata; Lepidosauria; Squamata; Cordylidae
Exons: 3
Source: RefSeq, a predicted model, not a curated record